This 230-nucleotide long non-coding RNA is filed under the name Arabidopsis lyrata. Its description in RNAcentral is "long non-coding RNA (ALYR_LNC000968)". The record is from RNAcentral. Lineage: Eukaryota; Viridiplantae; Streptophyta; Magnoliopsida; Brassicales; Brassicaceae.
CAAUAUGACAAGAUUAGUGUGUAUGACUGAGUAUAAGAAAAGUGAAAUGCAACCCGGAUCCUGGCUGCUAAAGUAGAGUAGAUAUAAAACAAAAAAAACUCAUAGGGACUUCGUCCUCACUUACAAAACUUGGGAAAGCCAUAAUAAGCUUGUGUAUGGUUUUUGGAGUCCAAUAUGACAAGAUUGGUGUGUAUGACUGAGUAUAAGAAAGUGAAAUGCAACCCGGAUCC